Non-coding RNA from Chrysemys picta bellii (western painted turtle), 555 nucleotides. The record is from RefSeq and is a predicted model, not a curated record. NCBI's taxonomy places the organism in Eukaryota, Metazoa, Chordata, Testudines, Emydidae.
GGCAGAGAUGCAGGCAACUUCAUCCACUGGAGACAGCCCCAGCGAGCGCUGCACCCCGCCCCCGGGUAGUAUUUGCAAGACACAGGAAGGGAGCAGCUGGGAGCGGUGGCUGCUGGGAAGAAGGAGGCAGGAGCCGGGAGAACAAAACCCAGGGGUGGGGGGCAGCUCCUGGGGGUGGGGUCUGGCACAGACCGAACUCUGCUGUUGCCUUGUGUGAUUCGGGAGCCCGGGCUGGUCAGCUGCUGCUCCCCGGGGUCUGUGCGGGGGAGAUCUCGUCAUUAAAGCUCCUUCCCUGCCACGCCGGGCGAGCUGGGACGUUCUCCAGGGGAGCCAGCCUCCUAGAGCCCCGGACUCUGUCACCAUCAGCUCCGGCGCCAGAGACUCCAGUUGCCCUUCUCGCCCUGCCAGGCUGCAGGAUGACGUCCAUGUUUUGCUCCACCUCAUCAUAUCCUCUCAUGGGACAGGAAAGAGAAAUGGCUGCAGUGGAGCCAGUUCAGACACCCCAUUUGACCCCCUUUAGACAAGAUUUGGGUGCCACUACAGGACCUUGGUUGC